CCUACGGGUGGCAGCAGUGGGGAAUAUUGGACAAUGGGCGAAAGCCUGAUCCAGCAAUGCCGCGUGAGUGAUGAAGGCCUUAGGGUUGUAAAGCUCUUUUACCCGGGAUGAUAAUGACAGUACCGGGAGAAUAAGCCCCGGCUAACUCCGUGCCAGCAGCCGCGGUAAUACGGAGGGGGCUAGCGUUGUUCGGAAUUACUGGGCGUAAAGCGCGCGUAGGCGGCUUCGCAAGUCAGAGGUGAAAGCCCGGGGCUCAACCCCGGAAUUGCCUUUGAGACUGCGUCGCUAGAAUCCGGGAGAGGUGAGUGGAAUUCCGAGUGUAGAGGUGAAAUUCGUAGAUAUUCGGAAGAACACCAGUGGCGAAGGCGGCUCACUGGACCGGCAUUGACGCUGAGGCGCGAAAGCGUGGGGAGCAAACAGGAUUAGAUACCCUUGUAGUC
This 440-nucleotide ribosomal RNA is filed under the name uncultured bacterium. RNAcentral's name for it is "bacterial SSU rRNA". It matches the Rfam family "Bacterial small subunit ribosomal RNA", at positions 338 to 795 of the family's 1533-position model. The record is from RNAcentral.